GAGGGUAUAGCUCAGUGGUAGAGAGUGUGCCUAGCAUGCAAAAGGUUCUGGGUUCAAUUCCUAGCACCUCUU
This 72-nucleotide transfer RNA is filed under the name Camelus bactrianus (Bactrian camel). It matches the Rfam family "tRNA". From Rfam's summary of the family: Transfer RNA (tRNA) molecules are approximately 80 nucleotides in length. Their secondary structure includes four short double-helical elements and three loops (D, anti-codon, and T loops). The record is from Rfam by way of RNAcentral. Lineage: Eukaryota; Metazoa; Chordata; Mammalia; Artiodactyla; Camelidae. RNAcentral also lists the same sequence under 1 other name.